RNAcentral lists this unclassified non-coding RNA (326 nucleotides) under uncultured Paraglomerales. Its description in RNAcentral is "sequence contains ITS2". Lineage: Eukaryota; Fungi; Glomeromycota; Glomeromycetes; Paraglomerales. The record is from RNAcentral.
AACGCAAAUUGCGCCUUCUUUCGGAAGGCAUGUCUGUUUGAGGGCACCAUUUAACAAAUAAUGUGCGCGUCGUUUUUACGAGCGACGUGCGCACGUUGAUGAGCUUUUCCGAAAAAACCAGGUUUUUUUUGGUGGCGCAUAAUGAACAGCGUGGGCUUUUUCUUCGAUUCUCGUGUAGUAAAUCUUCAACGCUUGGGUUGAGAAAAAGUGCGUGCCGCGCAAUGGGUGUGGCGAAUUUACCCCUGCCCCAAUGCCACUCUUUCCCUGCGAAAGAACAAUCUUUUAUUCAGGGCCUCAAAUCAGACAAGAGUACCCGCUGAACUUAA